AACGAACGCUGGCGGCAUGCCUAACACAUGCAAGUCGAACGAGACCUUCAGGUCUAGUGGCGCACGGGUGCGUAACGCGUGGGAACCUGCCCUUAGGUUCGGAAUAACUCCCCGAAAGGGGUGCUAAUACCGGAUAAUGUCUUCGGCCCAAAGAUUUAUCGCCUAGGGAUGGGCCCGCGUUGGAUUAGCUAGUUGGUAGGGUAAAAGCCUACCAAGGCGACGAUCCAUAGCUGGUCUGAGAGGAUGAUCAGCCACACUGGGACUGAGACACGGCCCAGACUCCUACGGGAGGCAGCAGUGGGGAAUAUUGGACAAUGGGCGAGAGCCUGAUCCAGCAAUGCCGCGUGAGUGAUGAAGGCCUUAGGGUUGUAAAGCUCUUUUACCCGGGAUGAUAAUGACAGUACCGGGAGAAUAAGCGCCGGCUAACUCCGUG
RNAcentral lists this ribosomal RNA (433 nucleotides) under uncultured bacterium. RNAcentral's name for it is "partial 16S ribosomal RNA". It matches the Rfam family "Bacterial small subunit ribosomal RNA", at positions 29 to 507 of the family's 1533-position model. The record is from RNAcentral.